UUAGACUCGUGGCGGAAAGCUUAGUAACACGUGGCCAAACUACCCUGUGGAUCGGGACAACCUCGGGAAACUGAGGCUAAUUCCGAAUACCGCUCCCANACUGGAAUGGCGGGAGCUGGAAACGCUCCGGCGCCACAGGAUGUGGCUGCGGCCGAUUAGGUAGACUGUGGGGUAACGGCCCACCGUGCCCAUAAUCGGUACGGGUCAUGAAAGUGAGAGCCCGGAUACGGAAUCUGAUACCAGAUUCCGGGCCCUACAGGGCGCANCAAGCGCGAAACCUUUACNCUGCACGACAGUGCGAUUGGGGGACUCCGAGUGCGAGGGCAUACAGUCCUCGCUUUUCUGUACCGUANGGUGGUACAGGAACAAGUGCUGGGCAAGACCGGUNCCNGCCGCCNCGGUUAUACCGGCGGCACGAGUGA
Molecule: ribosomal RNA, 422 nt
Filed under: uncultured Halobacterium sp.
Lineage: Archaea; Methanobacteriati; Methanobacteriota; Halobacteria; Halobacteriales; Halobacteriaceae
Description: bacterial SSU rRNA
Rfam family: Archaeal small subunit ribosomal RNA
Source: RNAcentral